Molecule: ribosomal RNA, 74 nt
Filed under: Rossellomorea aquimaris
Lineage: Bacteria; Bacillati; Bacillota; Bacilli; Caryophanales; Bacillaceae
Also listed under: 1 other name
Description: Bacillus aquimaris partial 16S ribosomal RNA
Rfam family: Bacterial small subunit ribosomal RNA (bases 1-66)
Source: RNAcentral
CAGAUGAUUGGGGUGAAGUCGUAACAAGGUAGCCGUAUCGGAAGGUGCGGCUGGAUCACCUCCUUUCUAAGGAA